GGGCGCGUAGCUCAGUUGGUAGAGCAUUCGACUUUUAAUCGAACGGUCACAGGUUCGAUCCCUGUCGCGCCCACCA
Molecule: transfer RNA, 76 nt
Filed under: Rhodospirillaceae bacterium
Lineage: Bacteria; Pseudomonadati; Pseudomonadota; Alphaproteobacteria; Rhodospirillales; Rhodospirillaceae
Description: tRNA-Lys
Rfam family: tRNA
About the family: Transfer RNA (tRNA) molecules are approximately 80 nucleotides in length. Their secondary structure includes four short double-helical elements and three loops (D, anti-codon, and T loops).
Source: RNAcentral